This 465-nucleotide ribosomal RNA is filed under the name uncultured bacterium. RNAcentral's name for it is "partial 16S ribosomal RNA". It matches the Rfam family "Bacterial small subunit ribosomal RNA", at positions 338 to 795 of the family's 1533-position model. The record is from RNAcentral.
CCUACGGGAGGCUGCAGUAGGGAAUCUUCCACAAUGGGCGAAAGCCUGAUGGAGCAACGCCGCGUGGGUGAAGAAGGUCUUCGGAUCGUAAAACUCUGUUGUUAGAGAAGAAAGUGCGUGAGAGUAACUGUUCACGUUUCGACGGUAACUAACCAGAAAGCAACGGCUAACUACGUGCCAGCAGCCGCGGUAAUACGUAGGUGGCAAGCGUUAUCCGGAUUUAUUGGGCGUAAAGGGAACGCAGGCGGUCUUUUAAGUCUGAUGUGAAAGCCUUCGGCUUAACCGGAGUAGUGCAUUGGAAACUGGGAGACUUGAGUGCAGAAGAGGAGAGUGGAACUCCAUGUGUAGCGGUGAAAUGCGUAGAUAUAUGGAAGAACACCAGUGGCGAAAGCGGCUCUCUGGUCUGUAACUGACGCUGAGGUUCGAAAGCGUGGGUAGCAAACAGGAUUAGAUACCCGAGUAGUC